This 468-nucleotide ribosomal RNA is filed under the name uncultured bacterium. RNAcentral describes it as "partial 16S ribosomal RNA". It matches the Rfam family "Bacterial small subunit ribosomal RNA", at positions 28 to 507 of the family's 1533-position model. The record is from RNAcentral.
GAUGAACGCUGGCGGCGUGCUUAACACAUGCAAGUCGAACGGAAAGGCCGAAGCUUGCUUCGGUACUCGAGUGGCGAACGGGUGAGUAACACGUGGGUGAUCUGCCCUGUACUUCGGGAUAAGCUUGGGAAACUGGGUCUAAUACCGGAUAUGACGAUCUCUUGGAUGGGGUUGUGGAAAGCUUUUGCGGUAUGGGAUGAGCUCGCGGCCUAUCAGCUUGUUGGUGGGGUAAUGGCCUACCAAGGCGUCGACGGGUAGCCGGCCUGAGAGGGUGUACGGCCACAUUGGGACUGAGAUACGGCCCAGACUCCUACGGGAGGCAGCAGUGAGGAAUAUUGCACAAUGGGCGCAAGCCUGAUGCAGCGACGCCGCGUGGGGGAUGACGGCCUUCGGGUUGUAAACUCCUUUCGCAAUCGACGAAGCCUUUUGGUGACGGUAGGUUGAGAAGAAGCACCGGCUAACUACGUG